ACCUGACUGCUAUCGGAUUGAUACUAAGCCAUGCGAGUCAUUGUAGCAAUACAAGGCAUACGGCUCAGUAACGCGUAGUCAACCUAACCUAUGGACGGGAAUAACCUCGGGAAACUGAGAAUAAUUCCCGAUAGAACAUUAUACCUGGAAUGGUUUAUGUUCCAAAUGAUUUAUCGCCGUAGGAUGGGACUGCGGCCUAUCAGUUUGUUGGUGAGGUAAUGGCCCACCAAGACUAUUACAGGUACGGGCUCUGAGAGGAGUAGCCCGGAGAUGGGUACUGAGACACGGACCCAGGCCCUAUGGGGCGCAGCAGGCGAGAAAACUUUGCAAUGUGCGAAAGCACGACAAGGUUAAUCCGAGUGAUUUGUGCUAAACGAAUCUUUUGUUAGUCCUAGAAACACUAACGAAUAAGGGGUGGGCAAGUUCUGGUGUCAGCCGCCGCGGUAAAACCAGCACCUCAAGUGGUCAGGAUGAUUAUUGGGCCUAAAGCAUCCGUAGCCGGCUCUGUAAGUUUUCGGUUAAAUCUGUACGCUUAACGUACAGGCUGCCGGGAAUACUGCAGAGCUAGGGAGUGGGAGAGGUAGACGGUACUCGGUAGGAAGUGGUAAAAUGCUUUGAUCUAUCGAUGACCACCUGUGGCGAAGGCGGUCUACCAGAACACGUCCGACGGUGAGGGAUGAAAGCUGGGGGAGCAAACCGGAUUAGAUACCCGGGUAGUCCCAGCUGUAAACUAUGCAAACUCAGUGAUGCAUUGGCUUGUGGCCAAUGCAGUGCUGCAGGGAAGCCGUUAAGUUUGCCGCCUGGGAAGUACGUACGCAAGUAUGAAACUUAAAGGAAUUGGCGGGGGAGCACCACAAGGGGUGAAGCCUGCGGUUC
RNAcentral lists this ribosomal RNA (876 nucleotides) under uncultured crenarchaeote. Its description in RNAcentral is "bacterial SSU rRNA". It matches the Rfam family "Archaeal small subunit ribosomal RNA", at positions 21 to 903 of the family's 1478-position model. Lineage: Archaea; Thermoproteati; Thermoproteota. The record is from RNAcentral.